RNA transcript from Homo sapiens (human), 6125 nucleotides. It is a transcript of the gene named SET binding factor 1 pseudogene 1, with no coding region annotated. The record is from RefSeq and is marked provisional. The transcript has a single exon. NCBI's taxonomy places the organism in Eukaryota, Metazoa, Chordata, Mammalia, Primates, Hominidae.
GGCGGGCCAGCUGGCUGAGAAGAUGGUGUCUGGAGCCCGGGCCGCCGCCGCAGCCGCAGCCGCUGCGGCCGCCGCGGAGCGAACCCGGGGUGUCCCGGGUGUGCGGUCCAGGGCCAGGCCCGGGCCAUGAGCGCGCAGCCCUCGAGUCCCCGAGCCGCGGAGCCCGCCCAGCGUCCCUCCCCAUGGCGCGGAUCACAGACUACUUCCUGCUGGUGGCAUUCAGGCCGCACCCGCGCGGGAGUGGGAAAGGCCAGGGCCAGAUUCUGCAGUUCUUCCCGGAGAAGGACUGGGAGGCCAACCCAUUCCCCCAGCUGUUUUGCCAGUCCAGCGGGUGGCAGAUGUGUCCCGAGAGGAAUCCACCGACCUUCUUUGUUGCUGUCCUCACCGACAUCAACUCCGGGCGCCACUACUGUGCUGCUUGACCUUCUGGGAGCAGGAAACGACACGCGCUAAGGAUGCCACUGAGUGGGAGGAAGAGGAGGAUGAGGGAGGCCUUACGCACCUGUCGCCCACAGAGCCUGCCCAUCUGCCCAGAUGUUUGCCCCAAAGACGCUGGUACCUGUGUCGCGACUUGACCAUGCGGAGGUGUUCAGGAACAGCCUCGGCCUCAUCUAUGCCGUCCACGUGGAGGGCCUGAAUGUGUUCCCAGGGAACGUAAUUGGGAACCUGCUGACGUGCACCGUGCCCCUGGCUGGGGGCUAGUAGAGGACGAUUUAUUUGGGGGCUGGUGACCGGCAGGUCAUCCAGACUCCACUGGCCGACUCCCUGCCCAUCAGCAGCUGCAGCGUGGCCUGCUCUUCCGCCAGCUGGGCAUCACCAACGUACUGUCUUUGGUCUGUGCCACCCUCAUGGAGCACGAGGUUCUCUUCCUGUCCCGGAGCUACCAGCAGCUCACCGAUGCCUGCAGGAGCCUCCUGGCAUUGCUGUUUCCUCUCAGAUACAGCUUCACCUAUGUGCCCAUCCUGCCGGCCCAGCUGCUGGAGGCCCUCAGCACACCCACGCCCUUCAUAAUCGGGGUCAAUGCGGCCUUCCAGGCAGAGACCCAGGAGCUGCUAGACGUGAUUGUAGCUGAUCUGGAUGGAGAGACGGUGACCAUCCCUGAGUGUGUGCACAUUCCACCCUUGCUAGAGCCACUGCAGAGUCAGACGCACAGUGUUCUAAGAAUGGUCCUGGACCCGGAGCUGGAGUUGGUUGACCUCGCCUUCCCUCCACCCAUGACGUCCCCCUCCUCCUUGAAUAUGCAGGACAAAGAGCUGCGGCUCUUCCAUCAGCUGCUGCAGGGCUAUCUCUGGUGCCUGCACGUCGUGUGCAUUCACCCGGAGCCUGUCAUCCGCUUCCAUAAGGCAGCCUUCCUGGGCCAGUGUGGGCUGGUGGAGGACGAUUUCCUGAUGAAUGUGCUGGAGGGCAUGGCCUUUGCUCUCUUUGUGUUGGAGUGUGGGGUCCCGUACUGCCCCACGGACCUGUUUGAUGAGCUGGUGGCCCACGAUGUGGCACAGAGGUGGGUGGAUGAGAACCACCCCCAAUGAGUCCUGCAUCACAUCCAAGAACUGGUAGAGCAGCUCUGCAAGAACAAGAACCUGUACCCAGACUUGGCGAUGCACAACAUGCAGAGGCCGGGUGACAGCAGCCACCUGAGAUGGGCGCCCCGGCCCUUCCCCUGGCUGGAUGAGGGCGCCAUGCAGUGGAUCGUGGACCAGGCUGAGGCCAAGAUGCAAGGUGCACCCCUAGCCAUGAAGGCUGGGAGGAGGACCACAGGGCCCUCAGGGCCCCGCAUGACUGCCCUACUGGAUGGGUGCAGCAGGCUGCAGGUCAAGAGCCCAGGGCAGCUGGAGGUCGUGGGCAACUGCAUCUCCCACGUGUUUGAGGGGAAGAUGCUUGAGGCCAAGAAGCUGCUCCUAGCUGUGCUGAGGGCCCUGAAGUGGUGAGCUGCCUGCCACUGCCUCACCCGGGAACUGUACCUGCAUGUGCAACAGAACUGGGUGGUCCUGGACCACCAGCAGUUUGACUUUGUCAUCAGUAUGAUGAACUGCUGCCUGCAGGACUGCACUUCUCUGGACAAGCAUGGCAUCUCGGCUGCUCUGCUGCCUCUGGUCACAGCCUUCCUGGAAGCGGAGCCAAGGGGUAAGGUAGUUCUCUUACAGCUCUGUGCAGGAGCACGUGGUGUGGAGCAUGCCACAGUUCUGGGAGGCCGUGUUCUACUGGGACAUGCAGACUCAUAUCUGGGUCCUUUACCUGGAGCCCACCGAGGAUCAGGCCCCAGCCCAGGAGGUUGGGGAGGCACCUUCCCAGGAGGAUGAGAGAGCACUCUGCCCUAGAAGUGGCUUCUGAGCAGUGGUGCCUGUGGCCAUCCCUGAGCGGUGAGAAGCAGCAGGAGCUGAUGCAGAAGGAGGAGAGCACAGUGUUCAGCCAGGCCAUCCACUAUACCAACUGCGUGAGCUACCUCCUGCUGCCUCUGGACAGCAGCAAGAGCCGCCUGCUUCAGGAGCUGGGUGACCUGGAGAGCACCAGCAACAGCCUGGUCCCCAACAGCAUGGCUGGCAGUGUGGCUGAGAGCUAUGACACGGGGAGCGGCUUUGAGGACAGAGAGACCUGCAAUGUAGCUGGGGCUGUGGUCCACUUCAUCAACCGCUUUGUGGACAAGGUCUGCACAGAGAGUGGGGUCACCAGUGACCACCUCAAGGGGCUGCAUGUCAUGGUGCCAGACAUCGUCCAGAUAAACAUUAAGACCCUGGAGGCGGUGCAGCGGGAGAACCGGAGGCUGAUGCCCAUCUAGAAACCCAAGCUAUUGAGGCUGCACCUGCUGUCUGGUGAGGAGUGUGUGCUGGAUGGCCUGCGCAUCUACCUGCCACCGGAUGGGCGUGAGGAGGGUGCGAGGGCGGGCAGUGCGGGGUGGCCAGCACUGCUCCCAGCUGAGGGCGCCCUCUUCCUCACUACGUACCGGGUCAUCUUCACGGGGAUGCUCACAGACCCCCUGGUGGGGGAGAAGGUGGUGUUCCGCUCCUUCCCGGUGGCCGCGCUGACCAAGGAGAAAUGCAUCAGCAUCCAGACCCCUUUGGAUCAGCUAUUGCAGGACGGGCUGCAGCUGCGCUCCUGCACAUUCCAGCUGCUGAAAAUGGCCUUUGAUGAGGAGGUGGGGUCUGACAGUGCCGAGCUCUUCUGCAAGCAGCUGCAUAAGCUGCGGUACACACCGGAUGUCAGGGCCACCUUCUCCUUCACCCUGGGCUCUACCUACACACCCGGCCAGCCACCCCGAGUCACCAAGAACAAGGGUCCUUCCCUCAGAACCCUGUCCUGGAACCUGGUUAAGAACGUCAAGAAGACCAUCGGGCGGCAGCAUGUCACUCGCAAGAAGUACAACCCCAACUCAGCUAGGAGCACUGGAGCCAGCCGCCCUCUGAGGACCAGGAGGAGGAGAUCUCAGUGUCGGAAGAGCUGGAGCCCAGCACACUGACCCCGUCCUCAGCCUUGAAGCCCUCGGACGGCAUGACCAUGAGCAGCCUCCUGGUGGAAAGGGCUUGCUGCCGCGACUAUCAGUGCCUUGGCCUGGGCCCCCUGAGCAGCCGCCUGAGCCGGGCCAAGUCUGAAUCCUUCCGCAUUUCUCUGGUCAACCGCAUGCAUGCCAUCUACCGCAGGUACCCGGGGCUGCUGAUCGUGCCCCAGAGUGUCCAGGACAACGCCCUGCAGCGCGUGUCCUACUGCUACCGCCAGAACCGCUUCACCGUUGUCUGCUGGCGCAUCCGGCGGUCCAAGGCAGUACUGCUGCAUUCUGGGGGCCUGUACGGCAUAGGUGUAGUCGGACUCUUUAAGGCCCAGAACGCACCUUCUCCAGGCCAGUUCCAGGCAGACUCGAGUAGCCUGGAGCAGGAGAAGUACCUGCAGGCUGUUGUCAGCUCCAUGCCCCGCUACUCCAGUGCGUCCGGACGCAACACACUUAGCGGCUUCUCCUCAGCCCACGUGGGGAGUCACAUUGGCAGCCCCAGAGCCAGGGUCACCACUCUGUCUAACCCCAUGGCGGCGGCAUCCAGACUGACUGCACCCCGAGGUAAGUGGGGGCAGUGUCUGGACCUGUGGGCGCAGCAGUGGGCUUGGUGCCAAUGUGGGCUCCCAGCUAGCUGGCAGAGAGGCGAUGGCCCCACCCCAGGCCAACGGGUGUCCCCCGGCCCCCGACCCGGGCUUCCUGUGGCCACAGCAAGCAGCCCUCUACAUCCUCGGGGACAAAGGCCAGCUCAAGAAUGUGCGGCCGGACCCCUUGCAGCAGUGAGAGCUGGUGCCCAUUAAGGUAUUCCAGGCGCGGCAGGUGAAGGCUAGCUUCAAAAAGCUGCUGAAGGCAUGUGUCCUGGGCUGCCCUACUGCUGAGCCCAGCCUAGUCUCCUUCCUGCGCUUGCUGGAGGACUCAGAGUGGCUGAUUCAGAUCCACAAGCUGCUGCAGGUGUCGGUGCUGGGAGGGGGGAGCUCCUGGACUCAAGUUCCUCCGUGCUGAUGGGCCUGGAGGACGGCUGGGACAUCACCACCCAUGUGGUAUCCUUGGUGCAGCUGUUCUCAGACCCCUUCUACUGAACGCUGGAGGGGUUCCACCUGCUGGUGGAGAAGGAGUGGCUGUCCUUCAGUCAUCGCUUCAGCCACGGGGGAGCCCACAUUCUGGCUGGACAGAGCAGCGGCUUCACACUAUCUUCCUGUAGUUCUUGGACUGCCUACACCAGCUCCACCUGCAGUUCCCCAUGGAGUUUGAGUUCAGCCAGUUCUAUCUCAAGUUCCUCGGCUACCACCACGUGUCCCGCUGUUUCUAGACCUUCCUACUGGACUCUGACUAUGAGCACAUUGAGCUGGGGCUGCUGUACGAGGAGAAGGGGCAGCGCAGGAGCCAGCUGCCUUGCAGGUCUCUGUGUGGACCGGAUGAGCAAGAGGACAGCCAUGUUCCACAACUACAUGAAUGCACCCGAGGACACAGAGGUCCUGCGGCCCUACAGCAACGUGUCCAACCUGAAAGUGUAGGACUUCUGCGCUGAGGAGAUGCUGGCCGAGGGCCCUCCCUAUGACUGGGAACUGGCUCGGGGAACCCCCUGAGCCCCUGAGGAAGAACGGUUUGACGGAGGCGCUCCCCAGAGCAGGUGCUGUGUGGUGUGGCCCUGCUACCACAGCUGCCCCCGAGCCCAGCCUGACGCCAUCUCACGCCUGCAGAGGUUGGAGACAGAGCUGAGCCGACCCGCUAAGCGCUGGAAGGACACCUGGGACCGCGUGAAGGCUGCAUGGCGCCUUGAAGCCCGGCCAGAUGGACGUGGCACCCCUAGCUCCCUCCUAGUGUCCACCGCACCUCACCACCGCUGCUCGCUGGGUAUGUACCUGCAGGAGGAACCCGUGGGCUCCACCUUGAGCCUCAGCCUGGAGAGUGACCAGAAUAGAGGCUCGACCGCAUCUGGCUCCCGCCAGGCUGCCUGCGGCAGCACCAGCACCCUUACAGCCAGUUCCAGACAGCUGAGAGUGAGAACAGGUCCUACGAGGGCACUCUGUACAAGAAGGGGGCCUUCAUGAAGCCCUGGAAGGCCCGCUGGUUCAUGUUAGACAAGACCAAGCACCAGCUACGCUACUACGACCACCGUGUGGACACUGAGUGCAAGGGUGUCAUCGACCUGGUGGAGGUGGAGGUGGAGGCUGUGGCACCUGGCAUGGCCACCAUGGGUGCCCCUAAGAGCGUGGAUGAGAAGGCCUUCUUUGACGUGAAGACAACUCCUCGCGUUUACGACUUUUGUGCCCAGGACGUGCCCUCAGCCCAGCAGUGGGUGGACCGGAUCCAGAGCUGACUGUCGGACGCCUGAGCCUCCCGACCUUGCCUGGCUGCUCUGCUUCCAGUCGUUACCGACCACUAGGGGUGGGCAGGGCAGCCCUGGCCAUGUUUACAGCCCCGGCCCGGCCCUCGGCAGUAGUGAGGCCCCGAGCCCCCAGCACUUGUGUGUACAGCCCUAGUCCCUGCCCCGCACCGCCCGGCCAGCCCUAACUUAUUUCGGCGUCACAGCUGAGCACCGUGCCGGGAGGUGGCCAAAGUACAGCCCGCAAUGGGCCUGUAAAUAGUCCAGCCAGCUGGCUGCAGGCGAAUUGUUUCUAGAACCAGAGUCUAUAUAAAGAGAGAA